RNAcentral lists this ribosomal RNA (496 nucleotides) under Staphylococcus hominis subsp. novobiosepticus. RNAcentral describes it as "bacterial SSU rRNA". It matches the Rfam family "Bacterial small subunit ribosomal RNA", at positions 49 to 526 of the family's 1533-position model. Lineage: Bacteria; Bacillati; Bacillota; Bacilli; Caryophanales; Staphylococcaceae. The record is from RNAcentral.
CUAUACAUGCAAGUCGAGCGAACAGACGAGGAGCUUGCUCCUUUGACGUUAGCGGCGGACGGGUGAGUAACACGUAGGUAACCUACCUAUAAGACUGGGAUAACUUCGGGAAACCGGAGCUAAUACCGGAUAAUAUUUCGAACCGCAUGGUUCGAUAGUGAAAGAUGGCUUUGCUAUCACUUAUAGAUGGACCUGCGCCGUAUUAGCUAGUUGGUAAGGUAACGGCUUACCAAGGCAACGAUACGUAGCCGACCUGAGAGGGUGAUCGGCCACACUGGAACUGAGACACGGUCCAGACUCCUACGGGAGGCAGCAGUAGGGAAUCUUCCGCAAUGGGCGAAAGCCUGACGGAGCAACGCCGCGUGAGUGAUGAAGGUCUUCGGAUCGUAAAACUCUGUUAUUAGGGAAGAACAAACGUGUAAGUAACUGUGCACGUCUUGACGGUACCUAAUCAGAAAGCCACGGCUAACUACGUGCCAGCAGCCGCCGGUAAUAA